Molecule: non-coding RNA, 814 nt
Filed under: Pongo abelii (Sumatran orangutan)
Lineage: Eukaryota; Metazoa; Chordata; Mammalia; Primates; Hominidae
Source: RNAcentral
GCACGGCCUCCUCCCCUCCAGCUCACCGAGCGAUCUCCCUUCCUUCCUUCCAGUACUUCCUCCUGGUUGUUCUCCUGAGGAGGAAAAGAAGGGGUGACUCUCCACACCCUUGCAGCCUCACCUCAUCAUCCCUGCCUGCUGCCUGGCCAGACCUGGUCACUCAAGGCCUCCUUCAGUGCCCUGGUCUCAGCUGCCUCAGUAGGCUAGUGGAGCACAGCCAGGGGAGGACAGGAAGAGGGUAUUCUCUGGUGACAGGUGUGCCCCCCACUGACAGACCCUGCUCAGCAGAACAGAAGCCCUUCAGCAAAUGAGACCUACCCUCUGCAGAAGGCUGGUUAGGAAGCAUCCAUGUCUACUUCAGCGUCUCACCUCCCUGUCACAAACAGAUCACCACAGUUUUCCUCCAGCCUCAUGCUGUCCUCCCCCUGGAGGAAUGCGGGUACAUGGAAUGUUCUCUACCUCCAUGCAUGUCCAGCGACGUUUUGGAUCAGCAUGUCAGGGACGCUGUCAGGCGUGCCUGCUUGAACUCAUCCAGCCCUGGCUGGACGUGAUUCUACAAGCAGAGCAAGACCAGCAUGUUCUGUCCUCUAGUUAUCACAGCAGUUACCCUGGCAACCUGCAGGCCCUCCCUGAGGUGUCUGACGGCUGAAGCAGGGUCCAGCGGGAUGGAAUGGAGGAUGGGCACCCCGGAAGACAGCCCAUGGAGGGGCCCUUUGGGUCCCCUGCUGCCCUGGGCACCUGCUAAGAGAGAAGCUGAGCCACCCUGCCUGAGUCAGUAGGCAGUAAGAGCUGAAGGGAGCAGGAGGUUAGGGCC